ACACCGUUCAAAAGGAAAACAGAAAAACUAGCUAAAUAAAAAAAAAAAACUGAAGCAAAUAUUAAUGUUUCCUAAUAGCCCAGAUCCAUCCAAGCAGCAGAACACUACCAAUAAUAACAAAUACCUAAGAUCCAAUCAAUAUAUUUUAUACAACUCCCUUUUCGGAGCUAUUGCUUUCCUUCUAAAGCAUGCAUCUCCUCUGUAUAAGCAAUUUCUUCAUUCUCUUUCGCAAAAUCUGCCACUUGCUGAACCCUUGAAAAUUUAUCCAAAUGUUUUGAACAAAUUCAGUCGCACAUCUGUAUGUAGGAGGGUCAAGCUACUCAAAGUACUGGCACUACUCAUCAAUCUUUUAAGCAAUUAACCAACAAAUUAUAUUAGUUUUCUUUUAUAUCUAGCAAAAUAUGGAAAUCAACAAAAAAUCAAAGAACUUAUUCUAUAUUUGGAGCAACAAUGGAUCCAUCUUCCAAAAUUUCCUACCAUCUAUGAUGUUCUAACCAUGAAUCAUUCUCCAUAAUAGCAAUAAAUCUAUCCACUAGAGGA
This 540-nucleotide long non-coding RNA is filed under the name Elaeis guineensis (African oil palm). RNAcentral describes it as "long non-coding RNA (EGUI_LNC033885)". Lineage: Eukaryota; Viridiplantae; Streptophyta; Magnoliopsida; Arecales; Arecaceae. The record is from RNAcentral.